Equus caballus (horse) is the source of this 4011-nucleotide non-coding RNA. The record is from RefSeq and is a predicted model, not a curated record. NCBI's taxonomy places the organism in Eukaryota, Metazoa, Chordata, Mammalia, Perissodactyla, Equidae.
UGGAGCCCUGGGGCCCAAGAGGAUAAGCUGGCAAAGGAGACUGAGAAGGAGCAGAAAGCACCCAGAAGACAAGAGAAAAAAGUAUUUCAAAUAGAAGGGAGUGAGUUGUCAACUGUGUCAAAUAUUGCUGAGAGAUCAAAUAAAAUGAGAGCAAAGAGGACCAUUGCCAGCGUGAGCAUCACUAGUGACCUUGACAAUGCAGUCCCGGGGGCAUAGAGAAGUCAGAUGCUUGUUUGAAGGAGGUGGAGAGUGAGUGUGGGGUGAGAAGGGAAGGGCUGUGACGAUUUCAAGGAGCGUUUCCAGAGGACAAGCAGAGAGCUGGCCAGACCUCCAGAGUUGCGCCGACCAACAUGGAGGCGCUAGUCACACAUGGCUAUUUAAAAACUUAAAUGAAAACUAGCUAAAAUCAAAUAAAGUUAAAAAUUCAGUUUCUCAGUCACAUUACCCAUAUUUGAAGGGCUUGAUAGCCACAUGUGGCUAGUGGUUACUCUAUUGAUUAGAGCACGUAUAUUUUUAUCCUCACAGGAAGUUCUAUUGGACAACCCUGCUCUCGAGGAUGUGGGGUUAAGGAAGGUUUUGGUUUGGUUUGGUUGUUAAUUUUUACUGUGAGAGGUACUAGGCAGCGGUCAGACAGAGAGUGGAGGUGCAUCUUUCUUCAUGGACGUCUCUUCCUUUACCUCCCUUCAGAUGCUGGUGCGCCCGACAGAUCCAUCCAUCACCCCUGCUCUUCCUCUUCCCUUGACAACCAUCCUCCCUUGACAACCUCAUCCAUGCUUAUGAUCAGUUGUCACCCAUCAAUUGUCCCCAUUAUUAUGUCUCUCUCCUGAGCUGCAGACCCAUAGUCCACCUACCUAGGGACCAUGUCAACUUAGAAGUCCCACAGCAAUUUCAAACUCAGUAUGUCCCAAACUGAACCACCUCUUUCUCCUGGUCCAACUCCUAUGGCACCUCCAUGAAUUCCAUCCACUCGCCCACGCCAGCAAGGUGAGAGUCAUUUUGAACUCCUCUUCCUCUUCACUCUAUCUCUGGAGGCUGGCUGCUCAGGGCAGGCACCCGCCAGAGGACACCCUUCCCAGUAGGGGAGGUCAGAGGCACAGGGCUGUCCCUGCUUCUUGAAGUGGAGCCCACAAGACCGACCUGGGGCCCUGACUAAUGCAGAGGAGCCCUCGCCUGAAGGGCUGGACUUGGGAGUCACUGGGAGAGAAGACCAAAGCUCUCCUCAUGUCCAAGUAACUGCACAGAGCAGGGAGCAGCCAAAAGGGGCCCUGCUGAACCCCUUGGGAAGAGGAUAGCGAGGUUGGUGUGAGUUGGAGGCGUAGAUGUGUCAUGUCUUCCUCUCCACUUUCAGGAGUGAAGGGUGUUGACUUCCUAAUGAUGAUCAGGGCCGGCACGGAUCUAGGAGGCAGUCCAGUCAAGUCCGCCAUUCUGUGAGUGAGAUGAAGCGACUCACUAAACCUCGCCUCGUCCCGAGCUUUGCCACGAUAGCAUCCUGCUUCAGAUUACUUUGAACUUUGGAUACACAGCAAGUGGUGAUAAAGGAUAAUGAUCCAGGAAUCAUGGCGUGGGUGAAGUUGAGUCACCUAGAAAAUGUGCCAAAGCCUAGCUGUUACUUUGGACUAUUAUUUGCAGCAAGAUCUCUCCCCUUUCGUCUCAGAGCUGAAUUGGGUGAACUCGUGGCUUCCAACCCUUUCUACAUUUGCUCCCUUUGAGAAGGAAGGAAUAAGACCCAGAAGACAAUACUAUCAUUUAUUAUCUACACUAUUUCAAGCACUGAGCUUUACAUAUUUUAUAUCACUUGUUCAUCCCACCAAUCUUGAAAGGAUGGUGCUACCCCAUUUUCCAGAGGAGAUCUCUGAGGUUCAGAAAGUUAGAGUUCCAGGUUCCCUGAUUAUUAAGUGAGGGAGGUUGAAUUGAGCUCAGAUCUGUUAUGCUCCACAGUCCCUCACGUGAGGAAGAGAGCUUGGGAGCAUUUUAGCUGCAUUCCUCCUUAGAUUCUGACUGAGAUGGACAUGAUUUCUCCUGCUCAUCCCCCUGGUCCCCACCUCCUCUAAUCUAUGAGCCUAUAGCUUCAUAUUCUGACAGCACGAUCCUUUUCUUCCUACAUGUAUGAUCAUGGAUCAAGGGGUGGAGUGGUUCAUCUCACACGCUUACAUAUAUUGUAGGCUCUUAAAUCUUCACUUCCAGCUCUAACUCGUAACAUCACCUAGGGCCUUCUCUUCAGUCUUUCACCUGUCCUGCCUUCCAGGGAAUAGACAUCAGCUUUUGCACACCUGCCGACCCCCAGCUUACAAAGUGGUCUCUGCCAGACCACACUUCCCACUGUGGAAGGAGGCACCUGAGAGGUGCCUGGGCCCAUCCCCUGGCCUCUGUGUAGGCCAGCACGUGGGCCUGCCCCACUGAGUUGGAGAACUUUCAGGAUAGCACAUGAGUGGUGAUCCAGAGAAGCAGCUGCCAACACAUCUGAGGGCUCAGAACUACUGUGCUAGGCUGAGCAGACGCUACCUCCUAUAUCUGGCACCUGGUUUGCUCCCAGUGGCAGCAAGAUUGCAGCAGGUACAGCAGAGAUACAGGCCAAGUGAAGUAGAAUUGCUACUUUACGUUUUAAAAUCGAAUGAAUGGCCUUUACAAACUUCCACCCAAAAUCCUUCAAAAAGAGGUGAGGACAACCCUGACCCCACUCUCACCUUCCACCUGAUCAGUCUAAGCUGAAGGAAGAGCAAUCCUUUAUGGAUAUGGGAGGACAGAUAAAGUUCAGGAUGGGGACAUUCUCACUGGGUCCACUUGCCCCUCUUCAAGAUGGAGACAACUGGAUUUGGAUUUAUUAUCCUAUUCUUGAACCCCAAACACCAUUCUUACAGCAAAAAUGCUCUUUGAAGGGUGAGGACAUGGGGAAGCAUGGUAUCUUUAAGUAACAAGGGAAGAGAACCUCUCAAAUUGGGAGAAUUGGGGAAAUGGGCAUGCCACUAGGAACGAGGACGCAGAGCAGAAGGGCAGGCUGGAUGUAACUUUCAUCUCGGAGAAAAGUGAACUUUACGCCGUGUUGGCCAGCCUUGUGUUGAUGCCAGGGCUCCAGAUACCUACCAAGUCUUACCUUACAGCUAGUCCCAAGCUUCCUUCUUUAUCAGGGCAAUUAACAAAAAAUAAAGUGAUUGCUCCUCAUGGUGUGUCCUGAAAUAUACACAUGAAACAGUUCAACCAAAUACAGCCUGUUGAAUUGGUCCUUCAGGAGGGGGGCCUUCCCUCUUUUGGGGAGUCUGUGAUAAGAUGUGGCUUGGCCCUUUGUAGGAGUCCCUGUCAGCUGUGACAGACCAGGUCUUCGCCUAGGACCAGGAAUAAGGUGCCAGGCUUUCAGGGUGUGUGUGAGAGUGUACAUAGAAACUGUCACACCCUCAUCCCACGUACCAUAUCAGGGUGGAGCCAUUUGUUGUCCUCACCUUAACCAUCUCAACAUUUUCUGAAAGACUGAGCUUUGACGGUGCUGGGUCCCCAAGGUCACAGCCCAGAAAUGCUCAGCAGACCCAAAGGGCACCUUGCCAGCAAUGGUUCCCUUUAUCUGUCCCUCAUAUCUGGGGAUCCUGGACUCCAACCAGGUCACAGGCAUGAAUAACAUUUAUUUCCUAAGGGGAAGCAGGGGUCUGUCUAGCCAUGUCUGAUCUCCAAGCUUGUAUUCACAAGCUCACACCACCUACCUAUGUUACCCUCUGUGGACAUUUUCUCAAGUUGUUCUCAAGGAAUUUGGGGUUAAUAAUGAGUUACUAUAUUGCUACUUUCCAAAGAUAAAAUUAAAAAACACAACACCAAAUAUGAUCCUGAACAACAUUUAAUCUCUGGUGUUUCAGAAGACAGUCGAGCAUCUUGAAGGGCCUUAAGGUUGAGCCUCUGAUAGUGACUAUUGGUCCUUGGGGUGCUGUGUGGACAUGCAAAAACACUGCUUGAGGAGAGGCAGCGUGCAGCGUGGAAUGGGAGGCAGGAGCCCCAGCUCUGUUAGCACACGGCAGAGUGACCACGGAU